CUGAAUCAGGAAAUCUGUACAGGCAUACCAAGGUUUUGACCUCAACAAACAGGCAUCAUAACUCCUUGAUGUUUGAAUAUUAAAAUAAAUGAAAGAAAGCAAAUGAGCAACAUAUAUAUACUCCGCCAAAAUGACAUUUUUUGCAAACUUCUUCACGUGUGCUUGUAUAUUUUUUACGUACAGCAACUGUUUGCAUUUUCUCUUCGCAGCCCCAUUCUCCCAUCCUUUAUAAAAUUAAGUUUCUCCUUUUUACUUCACAAUCUCUUAAAUCUAACCAGUUGCAGCAGUUGCUUGCUUCAAAUGUUUCUCAUCCUCAAUAUCACAAUUGUCAAUCUUGUCAAAAUCAUCAUCAAAGUUGCUAUCGCCAUCAUCUGCACCCCCAUCACUUUCUUCAAGAUCUCCCAAAAGAAAAGUGUCCAGGUCCUGCUCAGCUGAUGAUGCAGUUGAUAUCUUGCUUUUCAGGUUCUUUUCUGUCACCUCGGACCUAGAAUUCUCUCCAGAUAUUGCACUUUGAGUCGAUUUUUCAUCUUUUAUCUGCUCUUCUGCUUUGCGCUUGAUCUCCUCCAUAUACUGCUUCUCAUACGGUGCAACAUGAGUGCUCAGAAGCGUAAAAUAAAUCCUCCAGAAUCUCCUUUCUUUCAUCACACGUGGGCAUAAUUCAUAUCUUAGCUUCGAGAUUUGCUUUACAUUAGUAAGAACAGAAAGAACAAGAGUGGCAUGCCUCCCCUGCCACUCAUUAAGAUCUUUCCGUACAUUCGACGCCGUAGUCUGCACAUCAGACGCCUCAGCUUCAUCUUGAAUUGGAAAGUUUUGGAAUGUAUUGGAAGUCAGUCCCUUAACAAAAUCUCUCAAAUCAUCUGUAAUUCCAAACUUCUGAAGCUCUUCGAGAUCCGAAGCCGCAGACACCGAAGAAGAAGAAGAAGAAUUCACAAUCGAGAGAGAAGAGAGCUGAGGAGGGAUGAUAUCUGAAAUGGACUUGAUUUGGAUCUGAUCGGCUUGCUUCAGAGCGGCGACUUUUAGUUGAUCGGCUUUCUUCGAAGCUUCCAAUGCGAGUUCUUUGGAUUUCUUAGCGGUCUCGGCGACUAGAUCAGCGAUUUUGUUGGUUGAGGUUAGGGUUUGGGACUUUUUUUGCCGCUUCUUCUGCG
RNAcentral lists this unclassified non-coding RNA (1145 nucleotides) under Hevea brasiliensis (rubber tree). The record is from RNAcentral. Lineage: Eukaryota; Viridiplantae; Streptophyta; Magnoliopsida; Malpighiales; Euphorbiaceae.